Molecule: ribosomal RNA, 506 nt
Filed under: Pseudolycoriella jejuna
Lineage: Eukaryota; Metazoa; Arthropoda; Insecta; Diptera; Sciaridae
Description: partial 16S ribosomal RNA
Source: RNAcentral
GUCUUUUUGUUUUAAAUAUAAAGUAUAACCUGCCCAUUGAAUUUUUUAAAAGGCUGCGGUAUUUUGACCGUACAAAGGUAGCAUAAUCAUUAGUUUUUUAAUUGAGAACUUGUAUGAAUGGUUGAAUGAGAAAUAGACUUUUUUAAUAGAAAAAUUGAAUUUUACAUUUUAAUUAAAAGGUUAAAAUAUUUUUAAAAGACGAGAAGACCCUAUAGAGUUUUAUAAUUUAUAUUUAAUACAAAAAAAAAUUAAUAAAUAUUUUUAUUUAAAUAAUUAUUUUGUUGGGGCGACGAUAAAAUUUAAUAAACUUUUAUUUUUUUUUACAUUAAUAUAUGGGGGGCUGAUCCGCUAUUGGCGAUUAAAAAUUUAAAUUACCUUAGGGAUAACAGCGUAAUUUUUUUUUUAAGUUCAUAUUAAUAAAAAAUUUUGCGACCUCGAUGUUGGAUUAAGAUUUAAUUUUAGGUGCAGAAGUUUAAAAUUUAAGUCUGUUCGACUUUUAAAUUCUU